RNAcentral lists this ribosomal RNA (391 nucleotides) under Actinocyclus sp. (in: diatoms). RNAcentral's name for it is "Actinocyclus sp. (in: Bacillariophyta) partial small subunit ribosomal RNA". It matches the Rfam family "Eukaryotic small subunit ribosomal RNA", at positions 582 to 975 of the family's 1831-position model. The record is from RNAcentral. Lineage: Eukaryota; Bacillariophyta; Coscinodiscophyceae; Coscinodiscales; Hemidiscaceae.
AUUCCAGCUCCAAUAGUGUAUAUUAAAGUUGUUGCAGUUAAAAAGCUCGUAGUUGGAUUUCUGGUAGAAGUAGCGACCUUGGGUCUUUGACCUAUGAAGUUGCUAUCUUCAACCAUCCUUGAAGAGAUUUAGUUUGGCAUUAAGUUGUCGAACUAAAGAUAUUCAUCUUUUACUGUGAAAAAAUCAGAACGUUCAAAGUAAGCAUUUAGCUUUGAAUGUAUUAGCAUGGAAUAAUGAAAUAGGACUUAGGUACUACUUUGUUGGUUUAUGCACCUAGGUAAUGAUUAAUAGGGAUAGUUGGGGGUAUUCGUAUUCCAAUGUUAGAGGUGAAAUUCUUGGAUUUUUGGAAGACGAACAACUGCGAAAGCAUUUACCAAGGAUGUUUUCAUUG